RNAcentral lists this ribosomal RNA (501 nucleotides) under uncultured bacterium. RNAcentral's name for it is "bacterial SSU rRNA". It matches the Rfam family "Bacterial small subunit ribosomal RNA", at positions 8 to 526 of the family's 1533-position model. The record is from RNAcentral.
AGAGUUUGAUCCUGGCUCAGGACGAACGCUGGCGGCGUGCUUAACACAUGCAAGUCGAACGAUGAACCACUUCGGUGGGGAUUAGUGGCGAACGGGUGAGUAACACGUGGGCAAUCUGCCCUUCACUCUGGGACAAGCCCUGGAAACGGGGUCUAAUACCGGAUAUCACUGCCACUCGCAUGGGUGGUGGUUGAAAGCUCCGGCGGUGAAGGAUGAGCCCGCGGCCUAUCAGCUUGUUGGUGAGGUAAUGGCUCACCAAGGCGACGACGGGUAGCCGGCCUGAGAGGGCGACCGGCCACACUGGGACUGAGACACGGCCCAGACUCCUACGGGAGGCAGCAGUGGGGAAUAUUGCACAAUGGGCGAAAGCCUGAUGCAGCGACGCCGCGUGAGGGAUGACGGCCUUCGGGUUGUAAACCUCUUUCAGCAGGGAAGAAGCGAAAGUGACGGUACCUGCAGAAGAAGCGCCGGCUAACUACGUGCCAGCAGCCGCGGUAAUUC